RNAcentral lists this long non-coding RNA (669 nucleotides) under Homo sapiens (human). RNAcentral describes it as "non-protein coding STX18-AS1:4". Lineage: Eukaryota; Metazoa; Chordata; Mammalia; Primates; Hominidae. The record is from RNAcentral.
GGCCUCAGCCGGCGCACCUGGCGGAGGAGGAACCUCGCGACGCGCUCUCGGGCAUCGGUUUCUCCCAGCAAAGCUUGGAGGGUUUAGCUGCGCGGAGAGCUCAGCGAGCUCUUCUGUGUCUGUUUGGGGCGUGUGGGCUCCGGGAGCGUGAGGACCGGGAAGCUAGGAGGCUCCUUCCCUUCUGGCGGCUCCCUCACUGAGACCGGGCGGUUUGGUUGCGGGGGAAGUGGAGACGAGCCACCCUUGACCUUUGACUGCAAGAACUCACCUUGAGCAGGAUAGAGGCACGUGGACGGUGACCCUCGGGAUGCAAUAAAUGCUGAGACAGAUCAGCAAACAUUGAGUGGGCCAGACACUGUUCUGAAAAAUACGCAGUCGACUUUUGAACAGCACAGGCUUGAACUGCAUGCGGCCACUAAUACUCGGACUUCCUUCUGCCUCUGCCAUCCCUAAGACAGCAAGACCCACCCCUCCUGCUCCUCAGCCUACUCGAUGUGAUGAUGUCUGGCUUCCUUUUCCCUUCAAUGGAAUAACAUAUACAAACUCUACCUAAGAGUGCUGUGUGAAGUACAUGCCAGCCUACAAGACAUGUCUCUAACCAAGUCGAAAGAGUGCAGUAUUCGUUCAUUCACUCAUUCAUUCAUUCAACAAAUGUUUAUUAAUAGGUAU